CCUACGGGAGGCAGCAGUAGGGAAUCUUCCGCAAUGGGCGAAAGUCUGAUGGAGCAACGCCGCGUGAGUGAAGAAGGGUUUCGGCUCGUAAAGCUCUGUUGUUGGAGAAGAACGUAUUGAUAGUAACUGAUCAGGUAGUG
RNAcentral lists this ribosomal RNA (140 nucleotides) under uncultured bacterium. RNAcentral describes it as "partial 16S ribosomal RNA". It matches the Rfam family "Bacterial small subunit ribosomal RNA", at positions 338 to 492 of the family's 1533-position model. The record is from RNAcentral.